RNAcentral lists this ribosomal RNA (253 nucleotides) under uncultured bacterium. Its description in RNAcentral is "partial 16S ribosomal RNA". It matches the Rfam family "Bacterial small subunit ribosomal RNA", at positions 524 to 776 of the family's 1533-position model. The record is from RNAcentral.
GACAGAGGCCUCGAGCGUUAGGCGGAAUCACUGGGCUUAAAGCGUGUGUAGGCGGGCCCGGAAGUGUCUUGUGAAAUCCCCCGGCUCAACCGGGGAACGGCUGGGCAUACUGCGGGUCUUGGGCCGACUAGGGGCAGCCGGAACAAGCGGUGGAGCGGUGAAAUGCGUAGAUAUCGUAAGGAAGACCAGUGGCGAAGGCGGGUCUCUGGACAGUUCCUGACGCUGAGGCACGAAGGUCAGGGGAGCAAACGGG